Molecule: non-coding RNA, 223 nt
Organism: Teredinibacter turnerae T7901
Lineage: Bacteria; Pseudomonadati; Pseudomonadota; Gammaproteobacteria; Cellvibrionales; Cellvibrionaceae
Source: Rfam
AAAUUCCGCUAUUCGGAAAAGGCUAGCAACCUGCCGAAGCACCGAGUCAUGGGCGGUUGCUCGUAAGGGUAAUGGUUAAGCGUUGACAGGGGAAUGCAUAGGCUCGGUAUAGAGCUCCGAAAUCAAACUUAAGAACGCCGACCUUGUUGGAUGGUGGGGAAGGCAACACUGCUUUUAGCGUUAUUGCGAGCAACUAAGCAGGAUCUCCGGAGUCAUGAGACCC